GAGACUUUAAGUCUCCUGAAGGAACGUUGAAGACGACGACGUUGAUAGGUCGGGUGUGUAAGCGCAGCGAUGCGUUGAGCUAACCGAUACUAAUGAACCGUGAGGCUUAACCUU
Molecule: ribosomal RNA, 114 nt
Filed under: Enterobacter hormaechei
Lineage: Bacteria; Pseudomonadati; Pseudomonadota; Gammaproteobacteria; Enterobacterales; Enterobacteriaceae
Description: partial 23S ribosomal RNA
Rfam family: Bacterial large subunit ribosomal RNA
Source: RNAcentral